UAAGCCCUGCUCAGAAGUCAAGAGCAGCAGCGCCGCCGCUCUUCGCGGCCUUUCAUAUUGCAGCGGUUCCUCAUUCUCGUGCCCCGGCCUCUCUGGGCGCCCCAGGACAAAGCCCCCUGAGCCCGGCCGCUCCCUUCCGGCUAAAUCCCCUUCGGGGUCAGUGAGCUACCAGCACCGGGCCGCGCGCCUCUGCUGCUAGCCGUGUGGCUCUUAAAGAGCCGCACACCCCUCCGCACCGCGUGCUCCUCCGACCCUCGCCACCCCUCCCCUCUCCUCCGGAUCUAGCCCCCCACGCCGACGCCUGAGGUCCCUGCUGCCCCGAC
Molecule: long non-coding RNA, 323 nt
Filed under: Nannospalax galili (Upper Galilee mountains blind mole rat)
Lineage: Eukaryota; Metazoa; Chordata; Mammalia; Rodentia; Spalacidae
Description: Six3os1 conserved region 4 (ENSNGAG00000004503.1)
Rfam family: Six3os1 conserved region 4
Source: RNAcentral